CUCAUUUUAUUCCCGGUAAAAACACCCCAACCCUCUCAAACACAAAACCUUCUCCAACAUAAGGGAGGCUUCAUCUUACUCCCUCGCAAGGAACCAUAACGAGUUCUGAAUGGAUUUCAUCUGGUGAAACCUUUCUCGUCCAUGGGAAGCAAUCGCUGCCUCUUCUCUUGCAAGAUCCCUAACCACGCAGUGGUUAGUUUGAAGCUGGAAAACAAAGUCACAUGUUAUCUUUUGGGAGUCUCUUUAAUAUUUCAACAAGGAGAGCAUUCGAUUCCAGGAGUUUCGGGAUAUCCAGGCCCAUGGUCCCAUCGUCUACAUGGAUAGUUCUGAAAAUUCUCAGGGAAAAGGAGAUUUUCUGUCUCAUUCUAUUUUCUAACUGAAAUGGUUACAUUUUGUUAGUGAUGAUUUUUCUUUCUUCUAUGUUCUGAAGAUGCUUACCAACUCAUCUGGUCUGUUGUCUGAUUGAACCCAGAGCUAAACUAUUUACCCUGACACAGUUCACUUGAUGAUCCUAAUCCAUGUGUUUGAAGCCUUUGAUAUCCAUAGUGGUGCUACAUUGUGCUUGUCUUUUGCUGCAUGUUGAGUUGUAUUGGAAUUGAAAUGCUGACUGGAAAUUGUAUCAACCGGCUAAGUGUUGUGUUCCUUAUCAAAGAAGGAGAAGUAUAUUGGAUUCCCAGGUCUAGAAGAGUCUGAUACACUAGUAUAAUCACAAGGUUCUCUUGGCAAGGGAAAGCAUUCAGAUAGGUUGGCCUUUAGCCGAACUUCAGUCCAAAAAUAUUUUAGGCAAAAUCAUUUCUUCAAUCUCCUUGCACUACUUUGUUGCUGUUCAGCCUAAAGUACAUUUCCAUACAUGUGGGACACAUUAGGAAGGUUUGUGGCAAGGUCCUCAUUGGGUAUUAUCUUUGAAGCAUGGUUUGUGGCACAGUCUUGUGGUUACUUGAAAAUUUCAAAUUCUACUUGAUGGGUCUUUAGCUUAAAUUGGUAAAGCGCUUGGAACAUCAGCAUGUCUCAAGCAUGUUCGAAGGGAUAGUGGUUCGAGUCCACCAAGACCUUUUUAUUCAAUUGUUCAUAGCAUGUCAAUCAAGGCAACCAUCCACACAAACAUUUUGGUUAUAAAUAGAGGGAAGCAAAAGAAGCAAUUUGCAAAUGGAGUGCUGCUGCUAGAAAACAAAAGAAGCCGUUUGCAAAUGGAGGGAAGCAAGAAAUCUUGGAAUGAUUAGAUUAUCUGUGGCGGUUUCUACUGCAAUUCCAACUAGCUUCUACCUUUCUUAAUCAGUUAAACAGCUAAGGAAUCUGUUAUGGGGUUGAUGGAGAAAAUGGUGGCUUAUACUCUCACUUGUCCAUAAUGCCACUAAAGUCUGAUGGUUCUUUGUAUCAUGGAAGCUCUUACCAAGUCACAUUAUGGAGAUCUGCUUCUGCUUCUGCUUCUAAUUAUUGUUUCUUUUGGGUCCUAAAUACUGUAAUCUGAGUGAAAGAAGAAUCAAUUGGCUCCUAUAAACAGUGUUCUGAGAGAAUUGCAUUGA
Long non-coding RNA from Macadamia integrifolia, 1523 nucleotides. RefSeq lists it as uncharacterized. The record is from RefSeq and is a predicted model, not a curated record. Lineage: Eukaryota; Viridiplantae; Streptophyta; Magnoliopsida; Proteales; Proteaceae. The transcript has 3 exons.